Molecule: small RNA, 60 nt
Filed under: Sinorhizobium meliloti 2011
Lineage: Bacteria; Pseudomonadati; Pseudomonadota; Alphaproteobacteria; Hyphomicrobiales; Rhizobiaceae
Description: putative ncRNA
Source: RNAcentral
ACAACUUGUGUCGUUAAGCCGACAAAGGUGACUAACAUUGUCGUAUGCGUGGUCGUCACG